This 232-nucleotide ribosomal RNA is filed under the name uncultured bacterium. RNAcentral's name for it is "partial 16S ribosomal RNA". It matches the Rfam family "Bacterial small subunit ribosomal RNA", at positions 99 to 334 of the family's 1533-position model. The record is from RNAcentral.
CGGACGGGUGAGUAAUGUCUGGGAAACUGCCUGAUGGAGGGGGGUAACUACUGGAAACGGUAGCUAAUACCGCAUAACGUCGCAAGACCAAAGAGGGGGACCUUCGGGCCUCUUGCCAUCGGAUGUGCCCAGAUGGGAUUAGCUAGUAGGUGGGGUAACGGCUCACCUAGGCGACGAUCCCUAGCUGGUCUGAGAGGAUGGCCAGCCACACUGGAACUGAGACACGGUCCAG